GAUGAAGAACGCAGCGAAAUGCGAUAACUAAUGUGAAUUGCAGAAUUCAGUGAAUCAUCGAGUCUUUGAACGCACAUUGCGCCCCCUGGUAUUCCGGGGGGCAUGCCUGUCCGAGCGUCAUUGCUGCCCUCAAGCACGGCUUGUGUGUUGGGCUUCCGUCCCUGGCAACGGGGACGGGCCCAAAAGGCAGUGGCGGCACCAUGUCUGGUCCUCGAGCGUAUGGGGCUUUGUCACCCGCUCCCGUAGGUCCAGCUGGCAGCUAGCCUCGCAACCAAUCUUUUUAACCAGGUUGACCUCGGAUCAGGUAGGGAUACCCGCUGAACUUAAGCAUAUCAAUAAGCGGAGGA
This 347-nucleotide unclassified non-coding RNA is filed under the name soil metagenome. Its description in RNAcentral is "partial contains 5.8S ribosomal RNA, internal transcribed spacer 2, and large subunit ribosomal RNA". The stretch from base 1 to 120 matches the Rfam family "5.8S ribosomal RNA", at positions 35 to 154 of the family's 154-position model. The record is from RNAcentral.